AGUGAACGCUGGCGGUAGGCCUAACACAUGCAAGUCGAACGGCAGCACAGUAAGAGCUUGCUCUUACGGGUGGCGAGUGGCGGACGGGUGAGGAAUACAUCGGAAUCUACUUUUUCGUGGGGGAUAACGUAGGGAAACUUACGCUAAUACCGCAUACGACCUACGGGUGAAAGCAGGGGAUCUUCGGACCUUGCGCGAUUGAAUGAGCCGAUGUCGGAUUAGCUAGUUGGCGGGGUAAAGGCCCACCAAGGCGACGAUCCGUAGCUGGUCUGAGAGGAUGGUCGGCCACACUGGAGCUUAACCACGGGCUCGGGUCCUACGAGCGGCAGCAGUGGGGUAUAUUGGGUAAUGGGCGCGAGCCUGAUCCAGUCCUACCGCGCGGGUGAAGGAGGCCUUGGGGUUGUAAUGCCGUUUUGUUGGGAAAGAAAAGCCGCAGGUGAAUAACCGGCUGGUGUGACGGUACCAGAACAAUACGCACCGGCUAACUUCGUG
RNAcentral lists this ribosomal RNA (492 nucleotides) under uncultured bacterium. Its description in RNAcentral is "partial 16S ribosomal RNA". It matches the Rfam family "Bacterial small subunit ribosomal RNA", at positions 29 to 507 of the family's 1533-position model. The record is from RNAcentral.